AUUGAACGCUGGCGGCAUGCCUUACACAUGCAAGUCGAACGGUAACAGGUCUUCGGAUGCUGACGAGUGGCGAACGGGUGAGUAAUACAUCGGAACGUGCCCAGACGUGGGGGAUAACGAGGCGAAAGCUUUGCUAAUACCGCAUACGAUCUAAGGAUGAAAGCAGGGGACCGCAAGGCCUUGCGCGUUUGGAGCGGCCGAUGGCAGAUUAGGUAGUUGGUGGGAUAAAAAGCUUACCAAGCCGACGAUCUGUAGCUGGUCUGAGAGGACGACCAGCCACACUGGGACUGAGACACGGCCCAGACUCCUACGGGAGGCAGCAGUGGGGAAUUUUGGACAAUGGGCGAAAGCCUGAUCCAGCAAUGCCGCGUGCAGGACGAAGGCCUUGGUUGUAACUGCUUUGUACGGAACGAAAAGAACACUGGCUAAUACCUA
Molecule: ribosomal RNA, 435 nt
Filed under: uncultured bacterium
Lineage: Bacteria
Description: bacterial SSU rRNA
Rfam family: Bacterial small subunit ribosomal RNA
Source: RNAcentral